RNAcentral lists this small RNA (662 nucleotides) under Pan troglodytes (chimpanzee). Its description in RNAcentral is "retained intron". The record is from RNAcentral. Lineage: Eukaryota; Metazoa; Chordata; Mammalia; Primates; Hominidae.
GGACAGUGUCACAUAGAGUGCUAUGGGGGUGGCACCCCCUGAAGUUCAACAGCAUGGAAGCCCUGACUGGUAUGACAUGGUUCAAUGUCCAGAGUUUAAUUUUAAGAAUCAACAACUAGACAAAGUAAUGAUAUUGACUCAAACUUACUAUUCAAACCAACCUUUUAUUCCUUAGGCUUGUGUAGCCUGCCCUCAGAGAGAACUAUGAUGAUGGACAUUAUCAAAAGGAAUGAAAAAAGAAUUGACCUGUUUGGAGAAAGCCAGAGCCAGACGUUGCAGACCAAUUAUGUUGACUACUUGGACGAGCUCGCCUUAGAGAUAGGUGCGAAGCCAGAUUUCUGCUCUCUCUUGUUCAAAGAUCCUAAACUGGCUGUGAGACUCUAUUUCGGACCCUGCAACUCCUAUCAGUAUCGCCUGGUUGGGCCUGGGCAAUGGGAAGGAGCCAGAAAUGCCAUCUUCACCCAGAAACAAAGAAUACUGAAGCCACUCAAGACUCGGGCCCUGAAGGAUUCAUCUAAUUUCUCCGUUUCUUUUCUGUUGAAAAUCCUGGGCCUUCUUGCUGUUGUUGUGGCCUUUUUUUGCCAACUUCAAUGGUCCUAGUCAGCAUAAUGCUUUGGGCUUUAUUAUCUUGUCAGUCACUACCUCCUAAAGAAAAAAAAAAA